UAAAUAUAUCUGAUGAGUGCAUAGUUCAUCUGAAUAGAUUUGUAUCUACAUAUAUUUGAUGACAAAGCAAUCCAAAAUAGUCUUUCGCUCCUAUCUGAAUUAUCUU
Molecule: small nucleolar RNA, 106 nt
Filed under: Lepeophtheirus salmonis (salmon louse)
Lineage: Eukaryota; Metazoa; Arthropoda; Copepoda; Siphonostomatoida; Caligidae
Description: small nucleolar RNA snR60/Z15/Z230/Z193/J17
Rfam family: Small nucleolar RNA snR60/Z15/Z230/Z193/J17
About the family: The members of this family belong to the C/D class of snoRNAs which contain the C (UGAUGA) and D (CUGA) box motifs.
Source: RNAcentral